Molecule: ribosomal RNA, 100 nt
Filed under: Pessonella sp. PRA-29
Lineage: Eukaryota; Discosea; Flabellinia; Vannellidae
Description: partial Eukaryotic small subunit ribosomal RNA
Source: RNAcentral
AGUGUUCAAAAUGGUGGUUCGCUGAGCUCUCUUGGAUCAUCUCAAAUGGUGAAUGAACAUUAUGGAAAAUUCAAUAUGGAUAGUUUGAGUUCAGGUUAUG